Molecule: ribosomal RNA, 440 nt
Filed under: uncultured Acidobacteriota bacterium
Lineage: Bacteria; Pseudomonadati; Acidobacteriota
Description: bacterial SSU rRNA
Rfam family: Bacterial small subunit ribosomal RNA
Source: RNAcentral
CCUACGGGCGGCUGCAGUGGGGAAUCUUGCACAAUGGGGGAAACCCUGAUGCAGCGACGCCGCGUGAACGAUGAAGCCCUUCGGGGUGUAAAGUUCUUUCGACGGGGACGAUAAUGACGGUACCCGGAGAAGAAGCUGCGGCUAACUACGUGCCAGCAGCCGCGGUAAUACGUAGGCAGCAAGCGUUGUUCGGAAUUACUGGGCGUAAAGAGUGCGUAGGCGGUUAACUAAGUUUGGUGUGAAAUCUCCCGGCUUAACUGGGAGGGUGCGCCGAAAACUGGCUAGCUAGAGUGUGGGAGAGGAUAGUGGAAUUCCUGGUGUAGCGGUGAAAUGCGUAGAUAUCAGGAGGAACACCUGCGGUGUAGACGGCUAUCUGGACCAUGACUGACGCUGAGGCACGAAAGCGUGGGUAGCAAACAGGAUUAGAUACCCCGGUAGUC